This is a long non-coding RNA of Equus asinus (donkey), 3535 nucleotides long. The record is from Ensembl. NCBI's taxonomy places the organism in Eukaryota, Metazoa, Chordata, Mammalia, Perissodactyla, Equidae.
UUCCAAUAUUCCAAAGAGAUCGAGGAGAUGUAACAGGGUCUUGGACCUGUGACCUCCAUCUGAGUAACUUAGGUUAAUAUGUCCCUGGGAUUUCUCGCGGUCUUCCAUCAAUUUAACAGUUUGUUCCUAUUGCUCAAUAAAAUGUACUGUUGGAAAAGCGAGUGUAAGCAUUUUAGUUGUAGGAGAAAAAAAAGAGAGAGAAGGAGAAUGAGAGAGAAAGAGAGAGAGAGCUGACUUCAAUUGUCUGUUUUUUCUAUUUAAUGGAGACACCAGGGACUAGAAAUAUCCCGGGGCUGGAUGCAGGCUAGAUUCAAGGGACUGGUUAACACAGAUAGCAAAGUCUUUGCAAGGAGCCAGGACCCAGUUUCACUUUCAACUAUGGCAUUCUCAAUACAGUCCUAUCCCUAACAUGUGGGCAAAGAAAUUCCCAGUGGGAACUUGGAAUGAGGUUGGAAACUCUGAGGAGCGAGGCAAGAGUGUGACCUGGCUCCCUGGACCGCUGGCCUGGAGCCAGAUCCUCUGCUCCUUUUCAGAGAUGGAAUUGAGGCAGAGAAGAACUCACAGAGAGAAAAGAGACUCUUUUUGUUUUGUUUGUUUGGUUUGUUGUUGUGUCGGUGGUGGUGGCUCUUGGAGAGAAGCGUUGCCGCGUAUCAUCCGGGCCAUCAUCGAAUAAUACUGUGGACUCUCCAUUCUGGGCUGUACAGCAGGGCUAACCUGUGUCUACCGCACAUCUCACUCGUUUUUUCCUGUAGUCAAGUCCCUUUCCCUGCAGGGUGUUUGGAGCCACUUUCUACAUCAAUAUCAUCAGACUUCCUUGUUAGUUUGGUGGCAUGUUAUUCCAGGACAUAUCAGAGGAGACCCUUCUUGGGAAGUAGGUGCAGGAAGCAGUAAUAAUACCUUAAAAAAACCUCUUUCUUCUUGUUUCAAGUUAAUGUUUUUUAAAUUUGAUAUCUAUAUUUUCCCACUGUGACUGGUUUUGGGUUGUGGGAUUUUAAGGAAAUUCUCAAAAUACAAAGUUAAUUAUUUACUGAGUGCCAAUGAGAGAGGGAUACAGAAGGAGAAAUGUCGUGGUCGUUGCCCAAAAGGAGCUUUUGUGUAGUUAGGAAAUAAAGAAGGCACACACAGGACCAUUAGUGAACAAAGCUCUACGACAUGAGCUAAUCGUUUGGAAUCAACGAGUGCCUCAGUCAAACCACGAAACCAACCAGUGUGGAUCGGAACUCCACCGAAAACAGGAACAUGGCUGGGUCCCAAAAGGGUAGAUCCCAUGUGUUUCAGGUGAUUUCGACUCCACUCUUGGCUCCAUGGGCAUGACAUGACUCUAACGCUGAACCAUCGGUGAAUGCUGCUCCUCUGGCCACAGCUGGUUCAGGGAUGAACACAGGACCCAGUUCAGGCUAAUCAGAGCUAAUAAGAUUCAAUACAAGGACUUUCUGAAUUAUCAGAGAUGAGGCCUCUUUUUUUAAUGGCAGCCGUUGUGCCUUCAUAAGGGACAAGCACGCCUGAGAAUGGAGCCAACUUAGGCAGGGAAGAGCUGAGAGAUGGAGAGAAACUGAAUCUGGUGACAUCAUUUGAGUCGCUGAAUUCAGCUGUGUCUGAAACCAUAUUCUCUGUACAUUUUAGUUAUGUAAACCAAAACUUUCUCCUUUCUUUUCCUUUUUUAAGGAAGAUUAGCCCUGAGCUAACACCCACUACGAAUCCUCCUCUUUUUGCUGAGGAAGACUGGCCCUGAGCUAACAUCUGUGCCCAUCUUCUUCUACUUUAUAUGUGGGACACCUGCCAAAGCGUGGCUUGAUAAGCAGUGCAUAGGUCUGCACCCAGGAUGCAAACUGGUAAACCCCGGGCCACCAAAGCAGAAUGCGUGAACUUAACGGCUGCACCACCAGGCUGGCCCCAAUACUUUCUCUCUUUUACUUAAAACAUUUGGCUUGGGUUUCUGUCACUUGCAAUGAAAAGAGACCCAACUUGCGCAACAGGACCGGGAGAGGCAGAAGGACAAAAGCAAUCCAGGUCCAGAAGCUUCACUGUGACUGCCGGCAAUGACAUGGCAUUUUGAGGAGGCUCUCUUUGCUUACGUUGACUCCUGUGGAUCACGUGCACGUGAAUUAAGCUCUUGAAAGGUUUUACGGAGAUGGCGAAGCAGCUGAGAAGCAGAGGCUGGCUUGAUGUGCGGCUGUGGGGUGAGAUGAGCGAUACUCCUUGGUCGGCCUGGCUCAUCUUACUCGUCAUUUCCUGCAGGAGAACAGCUUGAGUGGCUCUCUGCAAUAUGUCACCUAGAAGCAGGAAGCCAUUCCGAACCCACGUGUUCCCAGCACUGAGUCAUCUCUAAAUGUCCUGAGCUUUCCAAUGACCUUGCUGACAGAGCAAGUCAAAGUCAGGAAGCAGAAAGGCCUGGAAACAAAAGCACCACAGGAGCGAUGAGUUCACUUGGUGCGCAGGUCAUGCUGUCUGCAUUCCUUCUUUGGAGAAAUGCCUGAUUACAGUCCUGGGAAUGCAGGGCACAGGGCCUAGCAAUAUUCUGGCCCAAAGAAGACCCUCCAAAACAUUUGUUAAGCAGAUGAAGAAAUGAGUUAAUGAACGAGCAUCUCAGAGCCUCGUGAGGACAAAGCAGAGCAGUCAAGAAUGUCCCAAAUGGGGGAAGCUUCUCCCAGGCAGUCAUCUGCGGACCAGGCUCCCCGGCCUCAGCUGUUCAUGCUCCUGUGCACACGCUCCCUGGGCCACAUGCCUGCACCAAGCUUCCUUUUGCCGUCUCAAAACUACUCUUGGCAAAGCAUGGCCUGGAGAACUUUCAUGAACCUUUGGUAAGGAAAAGGUUCUUUGUGGAAAUUGAGAAGUCCAGGCUGCGGCAGAGUAUGAGCAGCAGAUGGGUCUCAGUUUGGGGCAGUGAAUAAUUGCCCCGUCGGAGCGCCUUCUCAUGCCGGAAGGAAUAUGCCGCAUGAUGCGAGGGACCACGUUUCCUAUUUUACUUUGAUUUUACUUUCAGUGGAGUGGAGUUAAUGAAGUAUAGUCUAAACGGCAAAGAGGGGCUCUGGUCCCCGGAAACCCACGUUAAAACCGGAAGACAUCACAGAGGUUCCAGCGCUUUCACGAAGGGACCAGCCGGCUCGUCUGUCCGUAAAGCUGUGUUGGGUCAACGCCACAAGGGUCAUUGCUCCUGUGUCCCUGCUUCCGCCCUGCGGCGUGGGGGUGAGCGGCGGGGACAGAGACCGCGGGAGCUUUGUGGGCGGCGAGGGGGCCCCGCAGACGAAGCGGCCGCCCUGGUCAGUGGCCUUCUUUGCCACCCACCGUCCCGCCCAAGGCCCCAGAUACUUACAACGUUUUUCUUCAAAAGCCUAAAGGAAAAUGACCGAGCUGGCCUCUGUUUGGGGGCCGCGGGGCGUUCCCGGGCGUGACGUGGAGCCCUGGCCCUGCUGGCGGGGCCCGAACCUCCAGGUGGUGGAACCCGAGGCCUGGAAGGGUGGCCCGGGAAGAGAGCGGGGCAGGAAACGCGCCCCAGAGACGAGCCCAGCGCCAGGGCAGGGCAGCUGGAAGCGGG